This 101-nucleotide small nucleolar RNA is filed under the name Olea europaea subsp. europaea. Its description in RNAcentral is "Small nucleolar RNA R30/Z108". It matches the Rfam family "Small nucleolar RNA R30/Z108". Rfam says of the family: snoR30 is a C/D box small nucleolar RNA which acts as a methylation guide for 18S ribosomal RNA in plants. Lineage: Eukaryota; Viridiplantae; Streptophyta; Magnoliopsida; Lamiales; Oleaceae. The record is from Rfam by way of RNAcentral.
GAAAUUUACGAUGAGGAUAAAAAGCUCCCUCUUCUGAAUUCAAAUUUGAGGACGCUUUGCUGGCAGAAUCGAACCUAAAACUUAAAAUUGCCACUGAGUAA